This 578-nucleotide ribosomal RNA is filed under the name uncultured bacterium. Its description in RNAcentral is "bacterial SSU rRNA". It matches the Rfam family "Bacterial small subunit ribosomal RNA", at positions 338 to 916 of the family's 1533-position model. The record is from RNAcentral.
CCUACGGGAGGCAGCAGUAAGGAAUAUUGGUCAAUGGACGAAAGUCUGAACCAGCCAUGCCGCGUGAAGGAUUAAGGCCCUCUGGGUUGUAAACUUCUUUUAUCUGGGACGAAAAAAGGGUAUUCUUACUCACUUGACAGUACCAGAGGAAUAAGCACCGGCUAACUCCGUGCCAGCAGCCGCGGUAAUACGGAGGGUGCAAGCGUUAUCCGGAUUUACUGGGUUUAAAGGGUGCGUAGGUGGGUCUGUAAGUCAGUGGUGAAAUCUCCGAGCUUAACUCGGAAACUGCCAUUGAUACUAUAGGUCUUGAAUUAUCUGGAGGUAAGCGGAAUAUGUCAUGUAGCGGUGAAAUGCUUAGAUAUGACAUAGAACACCAAUUGCGAAGGCAGCUUACUACGGAUAUAUUGACACUGAGGCACGAAAGCGUGGGGAUCAAACAGGAUUAGAUACCCUGGUAGUCCACGCCCUAAACGAUGGAUACUCGACAUCAGCGAUACACUGUUGGUGUCUGAGCGAAAGCAUUAAGUAUCCCACCUGGGAAGUACGAUCGCAAGAUUGAAACUCAAAGGAAUUGACGG